GGGGUUGUGGCUCAGUGGUAGAGCCCUUGCCUAGCAUGCAUGAGGUACCAGGUUCGAUCCUCAGCACCA
Molecule: non-coding RNA, 69 nt
Organism: Ictidomys tridecemlineatus (thirteen-lined ground squirrel)
Lineage: Eukaryota; Metazoa; Chordata; Mammalia; Rodentia; Sciuridae
Source: Rfam